Molecule: ribosomal RNA, 952 nt
Filed under: uncultured archaeon
Lineage: Archaea
Description: bacterial SSU rRNA
Rfam family: Archaeal small subunit ribosomal RNA
Source: RNAcentral
ACUAGUGAUUUUCCGGUUGAUCCUGCCGGACCUUACUGCUAUCGGGAUAGGACUAAGACAUGCAUGUCGAGCGUCUCUUAGCCAGGAUUGAGACGCGGCACACGGCUCAGUAACAUGUGGCUAACCUAACCUCAGGACAGGGACAACCCCGGGAAACUGGGGCUAAUCCUUGAUAGAUGUGGAACCCUGGAAUGGAUCCACACCCAAAAGAUGUUCAGAUCAUGCUUUGAACAUCGCCUAAGGAUGGGGCCGCAGCCGAUCAGGUUGUUGGCGAGGUAACGGCUCACCAAGCCUAUAACCGGUACGGGCCGCGGGAGCGGUAGCCCGGAGAUGGACACUGAGACAAGGGUCCAGGCCCUACGGGGCGCAGCAGUCGCGAAACCUCCGCAAUACACGAAAGUGUGACGGGGCUAUCCCGAGUGCCGUCCGCUGAGGAUGGCUUUUCUCCAGUGUAAGGAGCUGGAGGAAUAAGGAGAGGGCAAGUCUGGUGUCAGCCGCCGCGGUAAUACCAGCUCUCCGAGUGGUAAGGACGAUUAUUGGGCUUAAAGCGUCCGUAGCCGGCCCAGCAAGUCCUUCGUUAAAUCCAGCGAUUCAAUCGUUGGACUGUGGGGGAUACUGUUGGGCUAGGGGACGGGAGAGGCCGACGGUAUUCUCGGAGUAGGGGUGAAAUCCUAUAAUUCCGGGAGGACCACCAGUGGCGAAGGCUGUCGGCUAGAACGAGCUCGACGGUGAGGGACGAAAGCUGGGGGAGCGAACCGGAUUAGAUACCCGGGUAGUCCCAGCUGUAAACGAUGCGGGCUAGGUGUUAGGGUGGCUACGAGCCACUCUAGUGCCGCAACGAAGGCAUUAAGCCCGCCGCCUGGGGAGUACGGCCGCAAGGCUGAAACUUAAAGGAAUUGGCGGGGGAGCACCACAAGGCGUGAAGCGUGCGGUUUAAUUGGAGUCAACGCCG